This 800-nucleotide ribosomal RNA is filed under the name uncultured bacterium. Its description in RNAcentral is "bacterial SSU rRNA". It matches the Rfam family "Bacterial small subunit ribosomal RNA", at positions 8 to 822 of the family's 1533-position model. The record is from RNAcentral.
AGAGUUUGAUCCUGGCUCAGAAUCAACGCUGGCGGCGUGCCUCAGACAUGCAAGUCGAACGAUUAAAGCUCUCUUCGGAGAGUGUAUAGAGUGGCGCACGGGUGAGUAACACGUAAGUAAUCUACCUUUGAGUGGGGAAUAACGUCCGGAAACGGACGCUAAUACCGCAUAAUGCAGCGGCAUCGCAAGAUGACAGUUGUUAAAGAUUUAUCGCUUGAAGAGGAGCUUGCGGCAGAUUAGCUAGUUGGUAAGGUAAUGGCUUACCAAGGCUACGAUCUGUAACCGGUCUAAGAGGACGGUCGGUCACACUGACACUGAAUAACGGGUCAGACUCCUACGGGAGGCAGCAGUCGGGAAUUUUGGGCAAUGGGCGAAAGCCUGACCCAGCAACGCCGCGUGAAGGAUGAAGUAUUUCGGUAUGUAAACUUCGAAAGAAUGGGAAGAAUAAAUGACGGUACCAUUUAUAAGGUCCGGCUAACUACGUGCCAGCAGCCGCGGUAAUACGUAGGGACCAAGCGUUGUUCGGAUUUACUGGGCGUAAAGGGCGCGUAGGCGGCCCUACAAGUCACUUGUGAAAUCUCCGGGCUUAACUCGGAAUGGCCAAGUGAAACCGUAAGGCUAGAGUGCAGAAGGGGCAAUCGGAAUUCUUGGUGUAGCGGUGAAAUGCGUAGAUAUCAAGAGGAACACCUGAGGUGAAGACGGGUUGCUGGGCUGACACUGACGCUGAGGCGCGAAAGCCAGGGGAGCAAACGGGAUUAGAUACCCCGGUAGUCCUGGCCCUAAACGAUGAAUACUUGGUG